Molecule: transfer RNA, 68 nt
Filed under: Episymploce wulingensis
Lineage: Eukaryota; Metazoa; Arthropoda; Insecta; Blattodea; Blattellidae
Description: tRNA-Leu
Rfam family: tRNA
About the family: Transfer RNA (tRNA) molecules are approximately 80 nucleotides in length. Their secondary structure includes four short double-helical elements and three loops (D, anti-codon, and T loops).
Source: RNAcentral
ACUAUUUUGGCAGAUAAGUGCAGUGGAUUUAGAAUCUAUUUAUGUAGAAUUAAAUUCUAUAAAUAGUA